RNAcentral lists this ribosomal RNA (468 nucleotides) under uncultured bacterium. RNAcentral's name for it is "partial 16S ribosomal RNA". It matches the Rfam family "Bacterial small subunit ribosomal RNA", at positions 28 to 507 of the family's 1533-position model. The record is from RNAcentral.
GACGAACGCUGGCGGCGUGCCUAACACAUGCAAGUCGAACGGUAAGGCCCUGCUUUUGUGGGGUGUUCUAGUGGCGAACGGGUGAGUAACACGUGUGUAACCUGCCCCCGACUUUGGGAUAACUUCAGGAAACAGGGGCCCAUACCGGAUAGGAGCUCCUGCUGCCUGGUGGGGGUUGGAAUGUUUCGGCGGUUGGGGAUGGACUCGCGGCUUAUCAGCUCGUUGGUGGGGUAGUGGAAUACCAAGGCUUUGCCGGGUAGCCGGCCUGAGAGGGUGACCGGCCACAUUAGGCCUGAGGUGCGGCACAGACUAGAACGUGAGGCAAGGGUGGGGAGUAUUACACAAUGAGCGGGAGCGUAAUACAACAGCGCCGCGGGCGGGAAGUCGGGCUUGGGGUUGGGAACCGCUUUCGCCUAAGACGGAGCGUGAGUGACGGUAAUGGGUGAAGAAGCACCGGCUAACUACGUG